RNAcentral lists this transfer RNA (73 nucleotides) under Ailuropoda melanoleuca (giant panda). It matches the Rfam family "tRNA". Rfam says of the family: Transfer RNA (tRNA) molecules are approximately 80 nucleotides in length. The record is from Rfam by way of RNAcentral. Lineage: Eukaryota; Metazoa; Chordata; Mammalia; Carnivora; Ursidae.
ACCUGGCUGGCUCAGUUGGAAGGGCAUAUGACUCUUGAUCUCAGGGUCAUGAGUUCGAGCCCUAUGUUAGGUG